RNAcentral lists this long non-coding RNA (1133 nucleotides) under Homo sapiens (human). Its description in RNAcentral is "HSALNT0056580". The record is from RNAcentral. Lineage: Eukaryota; Metazoa; Chordata; Mammalia; Primates; Hominidae.
CAAAAGUGCUUCUGGGAAUGUGGUGGCCGGCACUGACGGCGAAUGAGCUGGAGCAUUUGUUUGCAAGUUCCUCGGCCUUGGCUUCCGGGAUGGUCGUCCUGUUCAACUCUCUUUUUCACUUUUCUAUUGAGCUUCCAGCAGUCCCCCUCUAUCACAGUUUCGCUUUCGGAGGUUUCAGUUACUUGCAGUCAACCCCGGUGUGAAAAUAGAGUCUUACUCUGUCACCCAGGCUGGAGUACAGUGGUGCGAUCUCGUCUCACUGCAGCCUCUGCCUCCUGGGCUCAAGCAAUUCUCCUGCCUCAGCCUCCCGAGUAACUGGGAUUACAGUGAUUCCAUAAAUGGUCAUUAUAAAAGAAACUGCAGAAAUGAAAAAAGCUGUCCAUCAUAAUUAAAGGCCAGGUUGGCACUGAUCACAAUCUACGUGUACUUCAGGAUGAAUACAUGACCAACAAUCUUGUCUGGCUCUCCUCCUGUGGAUUAUUUGAUUGAAUGACUUUCAAAGCCUGUCUUUGUUUUGUGUUGCUAUAAAGGAAUAUCUAAGACUGGGUAAUAACUUACAAAGGAAAAAAGGGUUUAUUUGGCUCACAAUACUCAUGUCUGGAAAAGUUGAAGACUGGGCAUCUGGUGACGGCCUCAGGCUGCUCCCACUCAUGGUGAAAAGCAAAGUGGAGUGUCAUGUGCAAGAGAUCACAUGGUAGGAGGGGAAGCAAGAGAGAGAUUGGGGACGUGCCAGGUUCUUUUUAACAACCAGUUCUCAAAGGACCCAGCUGAGCGAGAACUCACUUACCCCUGAGAAAGUUCAUCAAUUUACUCAUGAGGGAAGCACCCCCGCCCUACCUCCAACAAUGGGAUCAAAGUCCAACAUUAGCCUUGGGGGACAAUCAUUCAAACUUUUGCAGCCUAUCACUAUUUUCAGUUCUUCCACUUAGACAUGUCUUUGCUCAAAAAGAUAUGGCCAAAAAGAGAAGGGGACUCUCAACCUUAUUCCUCAUCCCACACUCCCCAACAUGGACAUUUCUGGCACUCUUAGAUUAAACCUGGCACUCCUUGACUAAAUCUAGAUGUUAAACAUUGUUUACUCUGGGCUAGUGUCAUGUUUUCAACUAUUUUUAACUAUUACCUUGUUUGAUAAG